GCUUCUUUCAGGGGCAGAUGAUGAGCUUAAAUGAACGAUGACUCAAUUUUUUUAUUUCAUUGUUCUAUUAAGUAUGUGAUAAAGUUCAUUUACAAAAAAAUAUAGCGAAAUCCUAUAUUAAAAAAAAAAAAUAUUUAUACCCGCGAGCCCCCUUAAGUACAUAUAGUAAUUACAUGUAUUACCACUCUAUCAUCUCCAAUCAGAACAAUUAAUUUUUCAAGAUUUCAAAAUGUAAGGCUUGUCUUUCUGAAUCUAAAUGAUGAAAAUUUAAAAACAUUUGAUUCACAUGUUGAUCAAAUAAAACAUAGGAUAUGGAAAAAAAAUAACACUAAGAUUUUUAUAAAAAAAAUAAUCUAUGACAGC
Molecule: long non-coding RNA, 363 nt
Filed under: Mytilus galloprovincialis (Mediterranean mussel)
Lineage: Eukaryota; Metazoa; Mollusca; Bivalvia; Mytilida; Mytilidae
Source: RNAcentral